AUCUUCUUUGAAGGUAUGCUUAAGGAGGGGCUUGCGACACAUUAGUUAGUUGGCAGGGUAAAGGCCUACCAAGACUAUGAUGUGUAGCUGGACUGAGAGGUUGAACAGCCACAUUGGGACUGAGACACGGCCCAAACUCCUACGGGAGGCAGCAGUAGGGAAUUUUCGGCAAUGGAGGAAACUCUGACCGAGCAACGCCGCGUGAACGAUGAAGUACCUCGGUAUGUAAAGUUCUUUUAUUAAGGAAGAAAAAAGAGUGGAAAAACUCCCUUGACGGUACUUAAUGAAUAAGCCCCGGCUAAUUAUGUGCCAGCAGCCGCGGUAAUACAUAAGGGGCGAGCGUUAUCCGGAAUUAUUGGGCGUAAAGGGUGCGUAGGCGGUUUAAUAAGUCUAUAGUUUAAUUUCAGUGCUUAACGCUGUUGUGCUAUAGAAACUGUUUUACUAGAGUGAGAUAGAGGCAAGCGGAAUUCCAUGUGUAGCGGUAAAAUGCGUAAAUAUAUGGAGGAACACCAGAGGCGUAGGCGGCUUGCUGGGUCUUUACUGACGCUGAGGCACGAAAGCGUGGGGAGCAAACAGGAUUAGAUACCCUGGUAGUCCACGCCGUAAACGAUGAGUACUAAGUGUCGGGUAAAACUGGUACUGAAGUUAACACAUUAAGUACUCCGCCUGAGUAGUACGUACGCAAGUAUGAAACUUAAAGGAAUUGACGGGACUCCGCACAAGCGGUGGAUCAUGUUGUUUAAUUCGAAGAUACACGAAAAACCUUACCAGGUCUUGACA
Molecule: ribosomal RNA, 780 nt
Filed under: Candidatus Phytoplasma pruni
Lineage: Bacteria; Bacillati; Mycoplasmatota; Mollicutes; Acholeplasmatales; Acholeplasmataceae
Description: bacterial SSU rRNA
Rfam family: Bacterial small subunit ribosomal RNA
Source: RNAcentral